UAUAUUAAAGUUGUUGCAGUUAAAAAGCUCGUAGUUGGAUUUCGGAAGGUCCUUAGCAGUCCGCCCCUUCGGGGAGCGGGCUGCUGGCCUCCUAUGUUCCUAACGGUCCUCAUCCGCGAGGGUGGGGAAUCAACCGCUAGGAUCGUUUACUUUGAGGAAAUUAGAGUGUUCAAAGCAGGCGUAACUCGCCUCCGAAUACGUUAGCAUGGGAUAAUGGAAUACGACUUCGGUCUUGUUUCGUUGGUUUCGCUUGGCUGAAGUAAUGAUUGAUAGGGACAGUUGGGGGCAUUAGUAUUUAGUUGUCAGAGGUGAAAUUCUAGGAUUUACUAAAGACUGACCAAUGCGAAAGCAUUUGCCAAGGAUGUUUUCAUUAAUCAAGAACGAAAGUAGGGGGAUCGAAGACGAUCAGAUACCGUCGUAGUCUCUACCGUAAACUAUGCCGACCAGGGAUCCGGAGAGUUUGCAUGGAUGACUCCCCGGGCACCUUGUGAGAAAUCAUAAGUGUUUGGGUUUUGGGGGGAGUAUGGUCGCAAGGCUGAAACUUAAAGGAAUUGACGGAAGGGCACCACCAGGAGUGGAACCUGCGGCUUAAUUUGACUCAACACGGGGAAACUUACGAGGUCAGGACACUGUGAGGAUUGACAGAUUG
This 649-nucleotide ribosomal RNA is filed under the name Vermamoeba vermiformis. RNAcentral's name for it is "SSU rRNA". It matches the Rfam family "Eukaryotic small subunit ribosomal RNA", at positions 600 to 1250 of the family's 1831-position model. Lineage: Eukaryota; Tubulinea; Echinamoebida; Vermamoebidae. The record is from RNAcentral.